This 497-nucleotide ribosomal RNA is filed under the name uncultured bacterium. Its description in RNAcentral is "partial 16S ribosomal RNA". It matches the Rfam family "Bacterial small subunit ribosomal RNA", at positions 28 to 507 of the family's 1533-position model. The record is from RNAcentral.
GAUGAACGCUGGCGGCGUGCCUAAUACAUGCAAGUCGAGCGAACAGACGAGGAGCUUGCUCCUCUGACGUUAGCGGCGGACGGGUGAGUAACACGUGGAUAACCUCCCUAUAAGACUGGGAUAACUUCGGGAAACCGGAGCUAAUACCGGAUAAUAUAUUGAACCGCAUUGUUCAAUAGUGAAAGACGGUUUUGCUGUCACUUCUAGAUGGAUCCGCGCGUCAUUAGCUAGUUGGUAAGGUAACGACUUACCAAGGCAACGAUGGGUAGCCGAACUGAGAGGGUGAUAGGCCACACUGGAACUGAGACACGGUCCAGAGUCCUACGAGAGGCAGCAGUAGGGAAUCUUCCGCAAUGGGCGAAAGCCUGACGGAGCAACGCCGCGUGAGUGAUGAAGGUCUUCGGAUCGUAAAGCUCUGUUAUUAGGGAAGAACAACUGUGUAAGUAACUAUGCACGUCUUGACGGUACCUAAUCAGAAAGCCACGGCUAACUACGUG